CGGUAAGAAUGCGAGAGAUCGAAGGAAGAACAGUUGGGCGGAGGAAGGCGCCUUGCUCGCGACCAAUACGUGACACUCGAGGGAACGAANCGGUAGGGNGACAGGUGGUAUAGACCACCAGGUCUCGCGAACCGUAACAGUGAUACGUAGGUUGUUGUCUGUAUCCGGACCCGAUAGCGCGUGACACGUAGUUAAUCGCCCUCGGUGGGAGCACGCAGAGUGAGACAGAAAGUAUCGGAGGGGCCCGCACAAGCGGUGGAGUAUGUGGUUUAAUUCGAUGCAACGCGAAGAACCUUACCAGGACUUGACAUGUCGCGGUCGACGCGGCCG
Molecule: unclassified non-coding RNA, 330 nt
Filed under: uncultured Phormidium sp.
Lineage: Bacteria; Bacillati; Cyanobacteriota; Cyanophyceae; Oscillatoriales; Oscillatoriaceae
Description: partial contains 16S ribosomal RNA and 16S-23S ribosomal RNA intergenic spacer
Rfam family: Bacterial small subunit ribosomal RNA (bases 229-330)
Source: RNAcentral